UGGGGAAUAUUGGACAAUGGGCGAAAGCCUGAUCCAGCCAUGCCGCGUGUGUGAAGAAGGUCUUCGGAUUGUAAAGCACUUUAAGUUGGGAGGAAGGGCAGUAAGCGAAUACCUUGCUGUUUUGACGUUACCGACAGAAUAAGCACCGGCUAACUCUGUGCCAGCAGCCGCGGUAAUACAGAGGGUGCAAGCGUUAAUCGGAAUUACUGGGCGUAAAGCGCGCGUAGGUGGUUCGUUAAGUUGAAUGUGAAAGCCCCGGGCUCAACCUGGGAACUGCAUCCAAAACUUGCGAGCUAGAGUAGGGCAGAGGGUGGUGGAAUUUCCUGUGUAUCGGUGAAAUGCGUAGAUAUAGGAAGGAACACCAGUGGCGAAGGCGACCACCUGGGCUCAUACUGACACUGAGGUGCGAAAGCGUGGGGAGCAAACAGG
RNAcentral lists this ribosomal RNA (429 nucleotides) under Pseudomonadota bacterium. RNAcentral's name for it is "Proteobacteria bacterium partial 16S ribosomal RNA". It matches the Rfam family "Bacterial small subunit ribosomal RNA", at positions 355 to 776 of the family's 1533-position model. Lineage: Bacteria; Pseudomonadati; Pseudomonadota. The record is from RNAcentral.